RNAcentral lists this ribosomal RNA (357 nucleotides) under uncultured bacterium. Its description in RNAcentral is "bacterial SSU rRNA". It matches the Rfam family "Bacterial small subunit ribosomal RNA", at positions 1 to 334 of the family's 1533-position model. The record is from RNAcentral.
CUAGCGACUUCAGAGUUUGAUCCUGGCUCAGGACGAACGCUGGCGGCGUGCCUAACACAUGCAAGUCGAGCGGGAAUUUACAAAUUGAUUCCUUCGGGAUGAUUUUUGUAAAGGAUAGCGGCGGACGGGUGAGUAACGCGUGAGUAACCUGCCCCUUAAGAGGGGGAUAACACACCGAAAGGUGUGCUAAUACCGCAUAACAUACAUUUGCCGCAUGACAGAUGUAUCAAAGAUUUAUCGCUUAAGGAUGGACUCACGUCUGAUUAGAUAGUUGGUGAGGUAACGGCUCACCAAGUCGACGAUCAGUAGCCGAACUGAGAGGUUGAUCGGCCACAUUGGGACUGAGACACGGCCCAG